UUCAUGUUUCCAUUCAUGACUGUAUGCAUGCGUGCGUCUCGGGGAGAUACGAUACAGAACAUUAUGAUAAUAUUAUUAUAUUCACUGCUUUUCAGUUGAUAUAAUGCCAGCGAGCAUGCACACCCGUCUAAACGCGAGUUAUGUCGAGAUGUUUUAUUCACUUUCGAAUGGCAUUCGCUGGGCCUUGUAGUAUUAACGAUGCCUCAUUGGAGACAUCCGUUUGUGCAUUCUGUCGUUCUGAAGUUGGAGGAUUUCGUAAGCAGUUAGUUGACUUUCAAUGAGACAGAACAUCGUUCGUUAAGAGAUGUGUAUGGUGUAAACUAAAUGGUGGUGUAAUGUUUUCUUUAUUUUGUGAAUAUUUGUACCUUUUAAUUCAACUAUACUGCAUUUGCAUUGCGCAAACACCCGCUGAACAGCAAGCUCUAAAAACUUCAUAAUCAUAUUACCCCAGCAGACAUGUUAGCAUUCUGAAACAAUCUCAAAUUUCUGGGAAGCUGACAUUGUUCUAAAACAAGGGAAAAAAAGACCAUCGCAGGAUUUCUGUGUGACCGUGUGUUUGGUGUGUUACUUAUCGUGUCUUCUUCAAUGAGAUACUAUAGUGCCGAGGAAGCGUUGGCCCUUGUGCUUCGGGCAGUGAGUGCGAGGAGAUUAGUAUGCCCAGCUGUCAGUGGGACAGCUCUGUAUGGAUAGUAAGCGACUCCGUGGAGGAUGCGGGUUGAUUUGCUCUUGUGUGUGCUUCUCGCCAUGACGUGGGCAACGCAUCAAUGUCUGGCCAAACCCGCAGCGGCGCCAAACAAGAAGAAAGAGAAGAAGGA
This is a long non-coding RNA of Aplysia californica (California sea hare), 815 nucleotides long. RefSeq lists it as uncharacterized. The transcript has 2 exons. The record is from RefSeq and is a predicted model, not a curated record. Lineage: Eukaryota; Metazoa; Mollusca; Gastropoda; Aplysiida; Aplysiidae.